ACCUGAGCUCCACCUUCUCAGAUGAGCAGCAGCGUUAGAUUCUCAUAGGAGAACGCACCCUGUUGUGAACCGUGCAUGUGAGGGAUCUAGGUUGCGCUGUCCUUAUGAGAGUCUAAUACCUAUUGAUCUGUCACUUUCUCCCAUCACGCUCAGGUGGGAACAUCCAGUUGCAGGAAAACAAGCUUAACACGCCCACUGAUUCUACAUUAUGCUCCUACCUCCCGGCAGCCUCUCCAGGCCCAGAACUUUCUCCAGUCAGCCUCUACAGACCAAGCUCAUGACUCACAAUGGCCUAUUUAGGCCCAUACCCUACGUCACGGCAGCCUCCGCAGAUGAGGCUACUGCCUCACAACAGCCUCCACAGGCACAGCUCCAUCGUUACAAUGGCCUCUUUAGACCCAGCUCCUGCCUCCCAGCCUUCUCUCCAGGCCCUGAACAUUCUCAGGUCUCCCUCUGUUGUCCAAGGCUGGAGUGUAGUAGUGCUAUCGCAGCUGACUGCAGCCUCAACCUUCCAGGCUGAAGCGAUCCUCCCACCUCAACCUCCCACGUGGCUGAGACUACAGGUGCUUGCCACUAUGCCCAACUAAUAUUUGGAAUUUUCGUAUACGUGGAUUCCAGAGGGGUGACAGCAAAACGUGGGAACAUCCAGUUGCAGGAAAACAAGCUUAACACGCCCACUGAUUCUACAUUAUGCUCCUACCUCCCGGCAGCCUCUCCAGGCCGAGAACUUUCUCCAGUCAGCCUCUACAGACCAAGCUCAUGACUCACAAUGGCCUAUUUAGGCCCAUACCCUACGUCACGGCAGCCUCCGCAGAUGAGCCUACUGCCUCACAACAGCCUCCACAGGCACAGCUCCAUCGUUACAAUGGCCUCUUUAGACCCAGCUCCUGCCUCCCAGCCUUCUCUCCAGGCUCUGAACUUUCUCAGGUCUCCCUCUGUUGUCCAAGGCUGGAGUGUAGUAGUGCUAUCGCAGCUGACUGCAGCCUCAACCUUCCAGGCUGAAGCGAUCCUC
This 1012-nucleotide long non-coding RNA is filed under the name Homo sapiens (human). RNAcentral's name for it is "HSALNT0000095". Lineage: Eukaryota; Metazoa; Chordata; Mammalia; Primates; Hominidae. The record is from RNAcentral.